GGCGGGAGUUUAGGCUGUGCCGACCCCUCAGCCCCCCUCCAGGAGACGUUCGGAGCCCAGGACAUGUCGGGAUUGAGGAGAUACGAGGUGGCGCUGGAGGCGGAGGAGGAGAUCUAUUGGGGCUGUUUCUACUUCUUCCCCUGGCUGCGCAUGUGGCGGAGGGAGCGGAGCUCGGCGCACCCCGGGGAGCAGAAACUGGAGUCUUUGCGGGGCCUGAUGAGCUGUCUGUCGAGCGGCCUGGGCCCUGCUCCCCAGCGCUCGGGUCGUAGCCUCCCCAGCCGCACCCCCACCGCCGCUGCCCAGCCAGCCGGUGCAUUAAAGAUUUAAGCCGAA
Molecule: long non-coding RNA, 333 nt
Organism: Propithecus coquereli (Coquerel's sifaka)
Lineage: Eukaryota; Metazoa; Chordata; Mammalia; Primates; Indriidae
Exons: 4
Source: RefSeq, a predicted model, not a curated record